CACGGCCCCAGGAUACGGCCCCGCCGCCCACCCGGUUGGCGCAGCAGGCAACAUGGCAAACGGAGACGGGCGCCGCCAUCUUUCCGGCGGCCACGUGCGCAGCAUGGCGCAGUUCCUAUAGCAACGACCCGUCGCCAUGUUGCGGUGGCCUCCCCGAGCCUGCGCGGAUGGCGGCGCUGGCGUUGCGGCCGUGCGGGAGAGCCGAGCCGGCGCUCCUCGUAGAGCUGGUCGAGUGUUGGGUCGUCCCUGGCCCGUUUGGUGGCAGGCAUGGAAAUGAGGCAUAAACACAAGGGGAAAAGGAAGUUCUUUUUAUUUUCUCUGCUUGUCUUCAAACUCUCGCUGGUUCCUGCGGUAUUGUGAGAGUUUAAAACUUUUCUCCUUUUGUUUCUGUUUGCUUUCGACUGUGUGCAUCCAGGUGUGGCUGCCUGUACACCAAAACGAGUGCACAGAUAUGUAAAAAGGAUUUGCUAGGACUGAAGGCUUUCAUUCAACAAAUGCAUGUUUCUUACAGAGAGAAGAUAGCUACGUUAAUCACAGAUUAUUACUAUGUUCUGGAUAACUGCCGUAGAAAUCAGAGGAAUCUGCAACUAAGCAACAGCGGAAGUACAAUGGGGUGAUUUGAAUGUGUCUGAGUACACCUAGUUUUCAAGACAGAAGACAGAUCAUAGCAGAUUAAAGAACUCCAUCCAUUA
Meleagris gallopavo (turkey) is the source of this 692-nucleotide non-coding RNA. The record is from RefSeq and is a predicted model, not a curated record. Lineage: Eukaryota; Metazoa; Chordata; Aves; Galliformes; Phasianidae.